Molecule: long non-coding RNA, 1764 nt
Organism: Apis cerana (Asiatic honeybee)
Lineage: Eukaryota; Metazoa; Arthropoda; Insecta; Hymenoptera; Apidae
Source: RefSeq, a predicted model, not a curated record
UGGAGAUUCCUCGCUCGAUAUAUGGUGUUUCUUGGUAUACAUACGCGACGCAAUAAUUUGUUCGGUUGUUUUUCGUCCAGACACAGAUUAUACACGAACUUGUCAGUGAAUUAACAAUGAUAAAUGUAAUAAGUGACGAGAUUAUGGACUAUUUGUGGAUAAAAGUUAGGUUAGAUAUGCAUAAAAGUUUAUACUGAUUAGACAAAUAUAAUUAUUUCUAUAUUGCGAUUAUAUACAGUUUUGCAGAUAAUGAAAGGUAAAAUAUAAAUUGUGAGUUGAUAUUAUCUAUGAUAGCAGUAACCUGUCUUACUCACGGGUAGAUAAAUGAAUUUUUUAUAGCAUUUUUUGAAGACUAUGAAUGUGCUCAUGUUAGUGACAUUCAUUGGUCGUAUUUAUGUUAAAAUUCAUUUAUACUAAUAUCAUAUAUAUAAGUAUAUCAUAUAUAUUUUAGAAAUGGGAAGUGUGUUAUUUACAAACUUUUUGGCGCAAAUAGAUUCUUCAGAUUCGUAUUGCACGGCAUAUAAUAAAAAGAUUAUUACUAUUGCUUCUACUAUUCAUGAUUUAUUUUCACUUUACAUUGUUUCAAAAAAAUCUCAUUAAUUUGCAGAAGAAAUCAACUCGGUCAAUAGAUGAUCAUCAAUUCAUUUGAUUCAUCAAUAAUUUUAUAAUUUUUGAAUAUUGUAGUGUAAUUUAUUUUUGUUAUAAUUUUUUUAAAUAUGAUUGAAAAAAGACUUAUUAAAAAAGUAUGAAAUAGAAUUUUUUAUCUUAUCCAAUUUUCAAAAUUUUCUUUAAUUCAAUAUAGCUUACAUUUAACUUUUUUAAGGAUUAGGAAAAACAAUUACGUAUCUUUCAUAAAUUUAAAAGAAAAUUUUAUGUAAAAGUACGUUAAUACAUGAAAAUACAUAAAAAUACAUUGAAAAUUUAUGCAAUAAACAAACGAAGUAAUAUUUUACACAUGACCAUAUCUAUUUUUCCAAUCUUUUUAUAAAUCUAAAGUCAUAGACGAAUAUAACACACACGUACCAAGCUUCUCGUGUUUCCACGAUAACGAAACAAAGCCUACGAUAACGAAACAAGAAAUCAUGUCAAAGUAAACGCACGCAAAAUUACAGCUCCACAGGUUUAAUAACAAUUUCUUAUCCGAGAUCGACACUAGGUGGCCACACAGUCGAGACAAUAAACCUCUUUUACCAUAAACCUGUCAUUUGAACACGUAUUCGCGCAGCUGUAUCGCGAUGUAAUUAAUUUGCGUGAUUCAUGAUACACUCUAUAAAUGUAUGUAUGUAUAAUUUUAAAAUACAUGAGAUCUUACCGUAUCUUUUUCUUUUUUCUCUUCUUUUUUUUUUUUUUUAAGGAUGUCCUCUGUUGAAUGAUCGAAGGUACAUGUGACACACCUGUACCAGAUCGACUAACGAACGUCACGGUUUCCGGAAAUAACAAGCUUUUACAAUCGCCAGCUGUCCAUUAUAUUUCCACUCGGCGAUUCUUGCAUCGUUUUUCAGUCUGCGAGCAGAUCGAAAAGGAAAAGAGAAAAGAAAUCGUAAUAAGUUAUUCAAAAUAAGCUUUUAAUUAAUCAAGAAACUCGUUAAAUUUCAAAUUAUUGAGAUGAUCAAGAGGAAUUUUCAUUAAACUUUAUUGUUUAUUGGUAAGAAGAGAUAAAAAAAAAGGAGUAUAUAAAGAAUGUUUAUUUUGUUAAAAUUCAAAUAAUAUAUAUUUUAAGAAAAAAAUAUUGCGAAAGAAAUAUAAAAAUUGUUUUAUAUAACA